CGAGGUGUGGCUCAGCUUGGUAGAGCGCUACGUUCGGGACGUAGAAGUCGCUGGUUCGAAUCCAGUCACCUCGA
This 74-nucleotide transfer RNA is filed under the name Ruminococcaceae bacterium CPB6. It matches the Rfam family "tRNA". Rfam says of the family: Transfer RNA (tRNA) molecules are approximately 80 nucleotides in length. Their secondary structure includes four short double-helical elements and three loops (D, anti-codon, and T loops). Further hydrogen bonds mediate the characteristic L-shaped molecular structure. tRNAs have two regions of fundamental functional importance: the anti-codon, which is responsible for specific mRNA codon recognition, and the 3' end, to which the tRNAs corresponding amino acid is attached (by aminoacyl-tRNA synthetases). tRNAs cope with the degeneracy of the genetic code in two manners: having more than one tRNA (with a specific anti-codon) for a particular amino acid; and 'wobble' base-pairing, i.e. permitting non-standard base-pairing at the 3rd anti-codon position. Lineage: Bacteria; Bacillati; Bacillota; Clostridia; Eubacteriales; Oscillospiraceae. The record is from Rfam by way of RNAcentral.